UGGGGAAUUUUGGACAAUGGGCGAAAGCCUGAUCCAGCAAUGCCGCGUGUGUGAAGAAGGCCUUCGGGUUGUAAAGCACUUUUGUCCGGAAAGAAAUCCUUGGCUCUAAUACAGUCGGGGGAUGACGGUACCGGAAGAAUAAGCACCGGCUAACUACGUGCCAGCAGCCGCGGUAAUACGUAGGGUGCAAGCGUUAAUCGGAAUUACUGGGCGUAAAGCGUGCGCAGGCGGUUUGCUAAGACCGAUGUGAAAUCCCCGGGCUCAACCUGGGAACUGCAUUGGUGACUGGCAGGCUAGAGUAUGGCAGAGGGGGGUAGGAUUCCACGUGUAGCAGUGAAAUGCGUAGAGAUGUGGAGGAAUACCGAUGGCGAAGGCAGCCCCCUGGGCCAAUACUGACGCUCAUGCACGAAAGCGUGGGGAGCAAACAGGAUUAGAUACCCUGGUAGUCCACGCCCUAAACGAUGUCAACUAGUUGUUGGGGAUUCAUUUCCUUAGUAACGUAGCUAACGCGUGAAGUUGACCGCCUGGGGAGUACGGUCGCAAGAUUAAAACUUAAAGGAAUUGACGGGGUCAUAGCUGUUUCCU
Molecule: ribosomal RNA, 585 nt
Filed under: uncultured bacterium
Lineage: Bacteria
Description: partial 16S ribosomal RNA
Rfam family: Bacterial small subunit ribosomal RNA
Source: RNAcentral